RNAcentral lists this ribosomal RNA (159 nucleotides) under Pterostylis curta. RNAcentral's name for it is "5.8S ribosomal RNA". It matches the Rfam family "5.8S ribosomal RNA". Rfam says of the family: 5.8S ribosomal RNA (5.8S rRNA) is a component of the large subunit of the eukaryotic ribosome. Lineage: Eukaryota; Viridiplantae; Streptophyta; Magnoliopsida; Asparagales; Orchidaceae. The record is from RNAcentral.
GGACUCUCGGCAAUGGAUAUCUUGGCUCUUGCAUCGAUGAAGAGCGCAGCGAAAUGCGAUACGUGGUGUGAAUUGCAGAAUCCCGUGAACCAUCGAGUUUUUGAACGCAAGUUGCGCCCGAGGCCAAUUGGCUAAGGGCACGUCCGCCUGGGCGUCAAG